Zea mays is the source of this 1996-nucleotide RNA transcript. It is a transcript of the gene named ABC-type transport system involved in resistance to organic solvents, periplasmic component, with no coding region annotated. The record is from RefSeq and is marked validated. The transcript has 7 exons. Lineage: Eukaryota; Viridiplantae; Streptophyta; Magnoliopsida; Poales; Poaceae.
AAUCGAAGAUGCGGCGAUGAUGUACUAGAAAGGAAAACGAAGGCACAGAGCGCAUAUACGCAUGGCUACACAAGAGAUGGGUGGGUCUUGUGUCCAGUCGGGGUGGGAGUUGGGCUCGUGCAGUGCAGUGCAGUGCACUGCAGGUGCAGUCUUGCUCGCCUGUCUUCCUCGGCACCGGGACAGCGGACCUCCACCGCAACUGGGCCAUCUGUUCUCCUUCCUCCUCUUCCUCCGCCACCGCGCUUCUGAGGAGGCUAGGGCGAUGCAACCGCUUCCGCUUUGUUAUUAGCAAAGGGAACCGUCCGAGAACGGGCAGCCAAUUCUCCGAUGCCGUCCGCUAUGGCCAAAUCCCUCCUCCUCCCUCACCCUUUCUUCUCCGUCUCACCCCGCCCACACCCUCAUCCGCGCGCCGGAUUCCCUGUUCUCAAGCCCCGCCGCGCCGCGCUGCUCGCGGCCACGCCCGCGCCGGACGCCAACACCAGCUCCAACAACAACCCCCUCGCCGCGCUCUGGCGCCGCACCCUGCAGCCCCUCGGCGACUACGGCUUCGGCAAGCGCAGCGUCUGGGAGGGCGGCGUCGGCCUCUUCAUGGUCUCCGGGGCCGCCCUCCUCGCCCUCGCCCUCGCAUGGCUCAGGGGAUUCCAGCUCCGCUCCCGCUUUCGCAAGUACAACACCGUCUUCGAGUUCACGCAGGCGUGCGGCAUCUGCGUCGGCACGCCCGUCCGGAUACGAGGGGUCACCGUCGGAUCCGUCGUCCGCGUCGACUCCUCCCUUAGGAGCAUCGAUGCAACUGUCGAGGUUGAAGAUGAUAAAAUCAUCAUACCACGAAAUUCAAUGGUCGAGGUGAAUCAGUCCGGUCUUCUAAUGGAGACACUCAUUGAUAUCACACCAAAGGAUCCACUGCCUGCACCUUCAGUAGGACCACUUGACCCAGACUGCACCAAAGAAGGCUUGAUUCUCUGUGACAAAGAGAGGAUGAAAGGACAGCAAGGUGUAAGCUUAGAUGCAUUGGUGGGAAUAUUUACCCGUCUGGGUAGAGACAUGGAGGAGAUUGGUGUUAGCAAAAGCUAUAAGUUAGCUGAAAAAGUUGCAUCUAUAAUGGAAGAAGCACAACCUCUUCUUACACGGAUUGAGGCUUUAGCUGAAGAAAUGCAACCUUUGCUCUCUGAGGUUAAUGAUAGUGAUCUGCUGAAGGAUGUGGAGACUAUAGCUAAAGGCCUGGCCGACGCGUCUGGUGACCUAAGAAGGCUGAAGUCGUCCAUGCUUACCCCAGAGAACACAGAUCUUAUUAAGCAGUCUAUUUUCACCCUUAUAUUUACCCUAAAGAACAUUGAGAGUAUCAGCUCCGACAUCUCUGGUUUCACGGGCGAUGAGACGACAAGGCGGAACAUCAAACUUCUGAUCAAGUCUCUCAGCAGGCUAUUGUGAUUGGUGUGCAUAAUGAUGGAUUGCUUUGCAUGGGACGGGGAAUGGGGAAAUGGUUGCUGGUGGGGGGUCUCUCGGUCUCGGUGGCACAGAGGUUAUUCACCCCCGACAGUAGCCCUCGAGCCUCUAGAGAAGUCGGGCGCACCUUUGGAGGUUUGUUUUAACGAUGACGCUUUUGGCCCUUAUUGAGGACGUGUGAGUGGACUCAAUGAGUCUAGCCCUUCGGGCCUCUAAAGGGACCAUGGGUUCGUUCGGAAGGUCCUUCGUUUGGGAUGUGGUACACGUUCCCGCCUAAGGAUGUUCUGUGAUCACGCUUUCGAUCUUGUUUUGCGAUGUCGGCUUUUGAGCCUUCGCUCGUGUGGAUCGAUCAUAGAGUCGUUGUGACUCUUUCUUCGUCAUUUCUUUCGUGUCUCGUUCGCUGGAGACGGGGGGUUGUACCACGCCUCCACUUUGCCUUGAUGGUAUGGUAGUUGCAAACGAGUUCAUUCGAGUGAUGACUCUUAAAGGAAAAUGGAUCUUGACCCAUUUGAUUAAGGGGUUUUGGUGUUUGAUGAACAACAUAACUAGUGAA